AUUGAACGCUGGCGGCAUGCUUUACACAUGCAAGUCGAACGGCAGCGGGGGCUUCGGCCUGCCGGCGAGUGGCGAACGGGUGAGUAAUGCAUCGGAACGUGCCCAUGUCGUGGGGGAUAACGUAGCGAAAGCUACGCUAAUACCGCAUACGCCCUGAGGGGGGAAAGCGGGGGGAUUCUUCGGAACCUCGCGCGAUUGGAGCGGCCGAUGUCGGAUUAGCUAGUAGGUGAGGUAAAGGCUCACCUAGGCGACGAUCCGUAGCGGGUCUGAGAGGAUGAUCCGCCACACUGGGACUGAGACACGGCCCAGACUCCUACGGGAGGCAGCAGUGGGGAAUUUUGGACAAUGGGCGCAAGCCUGAUCCAGCCAUGCCGCGUGAGUGAAGAAGGCCUUCGGGUUGUAAGCUCUGUCGAGCGGGAAGAAAUAGUACCAUGGCUAAUAUCCAUGAUAUUUGACGGUACCGCUAGAGGAAGGCACCGGCUAACUCCGUGACCG
RNAcentral lists this ribosomal RNA (495 nucleotides) under uncultured bacterium. RNAcentral describes it as "bacterial SSU rRNA". It matches the Rfam family "Bacterial small subunit ribosomal RNA", at positions 29 to 511 of the family's 1533-position model. The record is from RNAcentral.